GAGAAGGCGAGAUAUGCGCACGCGCACACGGAGAGAGGAAAAAUCAGCGAGCGCGGUAACGGACUAUAAUCUUACAAAGAAAUAAUUAUUCGCGGGUAGAUCCAAUUCUAGUAGUUUGCCUUCGUUCGUUCAGAUUUGAACGAGAUUAUUCUUACUACUGCUCUUCUAUUCUACAGGUUGAAGGUUAAGAAAACAAUUACAUUUAUCUAGAUUAAUUAUUAAUUCGAAUAAGAAAAUCUAAAUUAAGAAUGAAUUCGAUGAAAAUACUACGUAUGAAACAUAAAUGUAUUAUGAAGAAAUGCGGCGUUUUCGAUGGAAAAAUGUUGGCCGAAUCGAGCAGAGAACAGAGAAUAUGUUGUAUGCUAGCGUGGAUGGACGGAACGACACAGACAAUUAUGCCGAAUGGAAGAGCACGCCUCACUAAGCGGAACUAAACGAGAACGGUACAUCUUACGAUCUGUUGCAAAAAAUUCCGAACCGUUUCACGCUACUCGUUUACAGAGAUCAUUCUUGUGGGAUAUGAAUAAAAUAAGAGCAGAAAAUUUUCAAGAUGCAAAGAAAAAACUUUUAAAGACAAUAAUCUACAAUCUAAAUAUUAGAUAAAACGUUAUCUAUACGGAAAAUCUUAUCUUGCUUUGAAGAGUGUGAUUAUUGUUAUCCAAAGUGAAAAAUAAUUGUACCGCACAAAAAUCAUAAAUCAUAAAUCCGAGAAAUCUAUGUGAUACGAAAUGAAUUCAUUUGCAUCGUUAACACAAUAUUUUAUAAUUUGUUUUGAGAUUUGUUCUAUUAAAUUAAAUAAAUAC
Long non-coding RNA from Apis cerana (Asiatic honeybee), 803 nucleotides. RefSeq lists it as uncharacterized. The record is from RefSeq and is a predicted model, not a curated record. Lineage: Eukaryota; Metazoa; Arthropoda; Insecta; Hymenoptera; Apidae.